CGUGAAUUAUCGCGAGAGUAGCUUCUGGCCAGUAAGUGUCAGCGGCGUUUCGUGGUUGAGCGGGGUUUGUGACGGUGGUUUAGGAGCCUUCUCUUCUGCGCGGGAGGGGAGCUCUGACUCGCAGCCGGACCCCGCCUUCUCGCUGACGAGGCCUCGUUCCCCAGGUCAGGCCUGACCUGCUCAAGCCCAGAGAGCUGUAAGAAGUUGGAUAUAGAAGUUCUUCCUUGAUCAGCAGCUUCCUAUGACACAUCUGUGAUUUCCUGGUUCUACCUCAUAUCCUGUAAUCAUGGACUUGUUAAUGUGACCUUCCAAGCCCCUAACAAAUCAACUGGCCAGUCAUCUCAUUUCUCUUGGAGAUAGAUUAGUUCCUCUGGAUAUGCCGCUGUACAUUACUUCGGGAUUGCUCGUGCACUUCGUGUUCUUCGCCUCCAUCUUCAACAUGUGUUUCACCUCUCCUUUGGUUCAUGGGAUGACGCCUCAGUUUACACCCCUGCCUCCCCCAGCAAAACAAUUAGUGCUGUUUGUCGCUGAUGGCCUGCGAGCACAUAAACUUUAUGGAUUAGAUGAAGAUGGAAAUUCUAGGGCACCAUUUGUUAGCAAAGAUGAGCUUCUCUGACCGCGCCUGUCUCUCCCUGCGGUGUUGUGUGGAGGGCCAAGGGCUCCCCGGUGAUGCGCCAUGUGUUGUCUGCCAUUCUAGCUGCUUCUGAAGCCUUUUUUGGAAUGUCGUAAUGAACGAAGGCAGCUGGGGCAUCUCUCACACGUGUGUGCCGACCGAGUCUCGGCCCGGGCCGUGGCCAUGAUUGCAGGGUUUUAUGAAGAUGUCAGCGCAGUUGCCAAAGGUGACCUUGGAAACCAUAUUUUUGCACACACUUAACGAUGCAUCCAGUGAGGAUUUUCGUGCCCACGAUGUAACAAAACUGGACACGUGGGUUUUUGAUCAUGUGAAGGAAUUCUUUCAUGCUGCCAGAAACAACCACUCUUUGUUUUCUAAAGUAAAUGAAGACAAAAUAGUUUUCUUCUUACAUUUAUUAGGAAUAGACAGAUCGACCAUCAUCAAGGCUCCCAUGGAGCCGGUCAUCCUUUAGAGACUUGUACUCCUUUUAUCGCUCGGGGAGCUGGAAUCAGGCUUCCCCAAAAAGCGUCAGCUCAGAAAUUUGAUGACUCAUAUUUGCAAGAAUGAAAGUUGGAGAACUGGAAGAGACAAGAUAAUAAUCAGGCUGAAUUUGCACCAUUGAUGGCAGCUCUUAUUGGAGUUCCCUUCCCUCUUAAUUCAGUGGGAAUCAUUCCUGUGGACAUGCUUAAUACCUCUGAUCUCUUCAAAGUAGGGAGCAUGUUUACAAAUGCAGUACAGAUUCUUGAACAGUUCAAGGUAAAAAUGACUCAGAAAAAAGAAGCUACUUUAUCAUUUUUGUUUACACCAUUUAAUGAGGUACUGUCAAGACAGACUGUUAAAUGAACCACUGACCAUCCACCCUUGCCAGGCAACAGAAAAGAGAAAACACUUGCAGGAGUCAUGUUACAACAGGAGGUCCUGGUAAGGAACAAGGAACUAACAAACUACCACCAACCAGGAUUCUGGAGAGGUCAAAAAGAGAUGGGAGACUCCAGUCCAGAGGUCCUACCAGCUUCCCAGGAUCCUCCUUGCUGGAAUCCAUCUCAGCUGAGUGAUGCAUGUGCCCCCAGGAAGGAUCCCAAUUCAGAAUGACUGGCAAGAGACAAACCAGAAACUAACCCAAUGACCAUAAAACCUGAGACUGUGAGCCACGUGGCAGAGAAGUUCUCUCCGUUUCCCUCACCCUCCUGCCCUCCGCCCUGGCAGCCCUUCCCAAUAAAGUCUCUCGCUUGGACAACACUCCUCUCCUAGGACAAUUCACUUCCAAGUGUCAGACAGGAACCCACUCUCAAGCCCUGGAAGGGAUCCCCCUUCCUUCAUCAAAACCACAAUCCAGGAGAAAACAUCUUCAAAAUGUUAUCUUGUAGAGAAGGAAAUGGCACCCCCUCCAGUAUUCUGGCCUCAGAAAUCCCAGGGACAGAGGAGCUUGGUGGACUACAGUCCAACAGCAGGGCAUUUCUGAGGGGAGCAAACAGUCCCAGGGAAGUUGAGAUGCUCACCAAAGGCCCCAGAGCUUUUGAUGGCACAGCCAGAACUAUAGCUGAGGACUCCCAGCUGCCAGGCCUCUUGAUGCUGGCCUCUCUCACCAGGUACAUGUGUGGAGAACUAGAAUCAAAAAUAUGCCUGAGUGCUUCCCUGGUGGCUCCGUGGUAAAGAAUCUGCCUGCCAGUGCUGGAGAUGCAGGUGUGAUCCCUGGGAUGGGAAGAUCCCACAUGCUAUGGAGUCCGUGUGCCACAACUGCUGAGCCUGUGUGCUAGAUCCUGGAAGCCCCAACGCCGAGCUGACACACUGCAACUACUGAAGCCCGUGAGCCUGUGCCCCACAGUGUGAGGAGCCACUGCAGUGAGAAGCCCGCACACCACUAGUUAUGGCCCACGCUCACCCAAACUAGGGGAGAGCCCACGCACGAAGACCAACACAGCCAAAAAUAAAUACGAUCGUUUUCCUAAAAAAUGCGUAUCUGGCAAAGAAUCUGUACUCAAAUUGUCCAAGAACGCUAGAGCAAACAAGUCCAUUCAUAACUGGUAAAGAUUGAAAUAGACACCUGGCCACGGAGGGUAUACUGAUAGUAAACUCUCCUACAGAAACAUACUCAAGAUACUGGUGGAAUGCAUGCACAGCCCCCUUUGGAAGACAGUCUGACAGUUUUUUCAGUAACCACAUGGGACAAGCACUGAAUUCUAUACCUGACAAGUGGUGGAAGCCAGGUAUCUUACCAUUGGAAUGGAAAGUUACGGAUAAACAAAAGGAAAGGUUACAAGAUCCAUGGAGACAUCAUCACAAAUUACCUUCAACUGAAUAUGUAAGCUGGAAUACAUGUAUAUAUUUCCAAAUAUGGUCAGCUGAGCAUAUUUAGCUCCUACAUGUAUGUUUUAAAUAUCAUUCUCUAAUGAAAAGGAACAGGAAAUGUCCCUGGUGGUCCAGUGGUAAAGGAUCUGCCUACCAAUGCAGGGAACACAGGUUCAAUCCCUGGUCCUAGAAGAUUCCACAUGCCCAGGGGCAACUAAGCCCCCAUACAACUAUUGAAGUACUUGCAUGCUCCAGAGCCCAAGUUCUGCAACCAGAGAAAGCGCUGCAAUGAGAAGCCAUGGCAAGGCAACUAGAGGGUAGCCUCUGCUCACUACAACUAGGCAUCUAGCUACAAAGACCCAGCAUCGUCAAAAAUAAUUCAGUGUUUAAAAAAAAAAGGACAGAAAUUCUUUGAAUAAAUGACUGAGACUAGGGGCGAGACAGUAAAUAUAUAAGCCAGGAUAAUCUUAAAGUAUGAGAAAGUAAAGAAAGUAAAGACAACUAUCAAGCUGUCCAAACUGAUAAAAAUGAAUGAUUACAGUUUUAUCUGUAUACACUAGCAAAUAAUAAUCUGAAAAGGAAUUUAAAAAAACAAUUCCCUUUUGAUAAUGUCAACAUUAAUAAAAUACUUUGCCAUGGAUGUAAUGAGGAUGACAAGACUGGCACACUGGAACUUAUACACGAUUGCUGAAAAAUAUCCUGAAUACAUGUACAGAUAUUCCAUAGCGAUGGAAAGACUUAAGAUGGCAAUACCAUGGAAUGCAUCUUCAAUCUGAAAUGAAGAUUCAAUAUGAAUUACAAAAGACUGAAAGGUCGUUGUUGAACCACAAAAGGCACCAGGAUUCUUGGCCUCCAGAGGAGAAGAAUUCAAUCCAGGGCCAGUUGAUGCAGCUUGAUUGCUCAGAGCUUUUGUGUCAUAAAGUUUUAUUAAAGUAUAAAAGAGAUAGAGAAAGCUGCUGACAUUGACAUCAGAUGGGGGCAGUAAGAGUACCCCCUGCUAGUCUUUAGGCAGGUGUUAUACAGCCACUAGCAGUCUGAUAAUGAAAGAAAGGCAAUGUCUCAGAGAAUGGCACCAGGCCCCUCACCCACAACAUGCAUUGAGAUAACAUUGGCAGCAGGUGAGUCAUCCCGGGCCAUAGAAUGAUUGACAUGAAUCUUGAAGAAAGGCAGAUUUCCAAGCAAAUAUAUCAUUUCAUUAACAUAGAUUAGGAGAACAGGUAUGAGUAAAACAUACUGGUUUGUCAAGUCGGUUCUGAGCCUUUAGGGGGAACCGACCUGAAGACAGAGUCUAGCAGAAAUACAUAGUAUAUUAACAUACCUUAAGACAAACCUUUCCUUAAGACAAAAUGUAUUGCUUAGCUGAAGGUUUGAGAAAAGUUAAGUUCAGGUGGAGCCAGGAGUCCUCAUAGCAACACAGAAUUUUAAGAGAAACCUCUUAAAUUUGUAUUGAGAAGGGGGAAAAAUGUAACACUAGUUUGUUUCCUCCAGCUGCUUGAGAGAUGAAAAAAUGUCUGACACUUGCAGCCUAUUCCCUCUGUCUGGAGACCCCUGGCCUUCCUGCCUGUUACCCUCUUGAGGCCUUUAGGAAGCAAUACACAAGCUGACCCUAACAUACACAUGGAAUGACAAGGGACUCCAAAGAGUCAAAACAGUCACAUGAGUCUGCAGUUCAAAGGUCCUCUGGUAUGCCGUGCUAAGUCACUUCAGUCACGUCUGACUGUCAGAGCCUGCCAGGCUCCUCUGUCCAUGGGAAUUUUCCAGGCAAGAAUACUGGAGUGGGUUGCCGUGCCCUCCUCCAGGGGAUCUUCCCAACCCAGGGAUAGGAUUCCUGCAUUGGCAGGUAGGUUCUUUACCACUAGCACCACCUGGGGCAAAAGUGCCUAAAGGAGAUCAGGGAAACCCAGUUAGGAGAAGGGACUCAGGGCUUCCCUGGUGGCUCAGUGGAAAGAGUCUGUCUGUCAGUGCCAGAGGAGAAGGGACUCAGAGGAAAGACAGUGAGGGAAGGAGACUCUUAGUCACACUCAGAGAAGCCCAGCAGGUAGUUCUGCAGGUGGAAGAGGAGGAGGAAGCAGGCUGGAGCUGUGUAGAGGAUGAAAGAGGGAACUAAAGCAGGGGCCCCCAACCUCUAGGAUCUAAUGCCUGAUGAUCUGAGGUGGAGCUGGUGAAAUAAUAAUAGAAAUAAGAGUUCGAUCACUCAGCUGUGUCCAGCCCUUUGUAGCCCACCAGACUCCUCAGUCCAU
This is a long non-coding RNA of Cervus elaphus (red deer), 5142 nucleotides long. RefSeq lists it as uncharacterized. The record is from RefSeq and is a predicted model, not a curated record. The transcript has 13 exons. NCBI's taxonomy places the organism in Eukaryota, Metazoa, Chordata, Mammalia, Artiodactyla, Cervidae.